UACGUAGGGCGCAAGCGUUGUCCGGAAUUAUUGGGCGUAAAGAGCUCGUAGGCGGCUUGUCACGUCGAUUGUGAAAGCCCGAGGCUUAACCUCGGGUCUGCAGUCGAUACGGGCUAGCUAGAGUGUGGUAGGGGAGAUCGGAAUUCCUGGUGUAGCGGUGAAAUGCGCAGAUAUCAGGAGGAACACCGGUGGCGAAGGCGGUUCUCUGGGCAUGUCCUGACGCUGAGGAGCGAAAGUGUGGGGAGCGAACAGG
RNAcentral lists this ribosomal RNA (253 nucleotides) under uncultured bacterium. Its description in RNAcentral is "partial 16S ribosomal RNA". It matches the Rfam family "Bacterial small subunit ribosomal RNA", at positions 524 to 776 of the family's 1533-position model. The record is from RNAcentral.